This 247-nucleotide ribosomal RNA is filed under the name uncultured euryarchaeote. RNAcentral describes it as "partial 16S ribosomal RNA". It matches the Rfam family "Archaeal small subunit ribosomal RNA", at positions 478 to 725 of the family's 1478-position model. The record is from RNAcentral. Lineage: Archaea; Methanobacteriati; Methanobacteriota.
GGCGGCUCGAGUGGUGGCCACUAUUACUGGGCUUAAAGCGUUCGUAGCUGGUUUGUUAAGUCUCUGGGGAAAUCUUCCGGCUUAACCGGAAGGCGUCUCAGGGAUACUGGCAGACUAGGGACCGGGAGAGGUGAGGGGUACUCCAGGGGUAGGAGUGAAAUCCUGUAAUCCUUGGGGGACCACCUGUGGCGAAGGCGCCUCACCAGAACGGCUCCGACAGUGAGGGACGAAAGCUGGGGAGCAAACC